UACGUAUGGUGCGAGCGUUAUCCGGAUUUACUGGGUGUAAAGGGAGCGCAGGCGGCGCGGCAAGUCCGAUGCGAAAACCCCCGGCUCAACCGGGGGACUGCAUUGGAAACUACCGGGCUGGAGUGCCGGAGAGGUAGGCGGAAUUCCUGGUGUAGCGGUGAAAUGCGUAGAUAUCAGGAGGAACACCAGUGGCGAAGGCGGCCUACUGGACGGUGACUGACGCUGAGGCUCGAAAGCGUGGGGAGCAAACAGG
Molecule: ribosomal RNA, 253 nt
Filed under: uncultured bacterium
Lineage: Bacteria
Description: partial 16S ribosomal RNA
Rfam family: Bacterial small subunit ribosomal RNA
Source: RNAcentral